RNAcentral lists this unclassified non-coding RNA (240 nucleotides) under soil metagenome. RNAcentral describes it as "partial contains 5.8S ribosomal RNA, internal transcribed spacer 2, and large subunit ribosomal RNA". The record is from RNAcentral.
AACACUGUUAACCUGCGGUACCUGCGGAGGGAUCAUUAUUGAAUAAACUUGGUCAAGCUGUUGCUGGUCCUUCGGGACAUGUGCACGCUUGCCACCAAUUUUAACCACCUGUGCACUUUUUGUAGACUUGGAAACGUUUCUCGGGGCAACUCGGAUUGAGAACUGCUGGCGCAAGUCGGCUUUUCUUAUGUUUUCUCAGUCUAUGUUUUCAUAUACACCUAAUGUAUGUAUCAGAAUGUA